Long non-coding RNA from Mus musculus (house mouse), 3777 nucleotides. RefSeq annotates it as RIKEN cDNA A630072L19 gene. The transcript has 5 exons. The record is from RefSeq and is a predicted model, not a curated record. Lineage: Eukaryota; Metazoa; Chordata; Mammalia; Rodentia; Muridae.
GCUCCUUCAGCAGCUGCCUCUCGGCCUGAAGAGCUGCGUUCUAGGGGAGAAGCACGCGCCAGUUACACACAGCAUGCUCUCUUGUCCAUUGAGAAUCAUCGGGAUGGACUUCAUGAAGUCACUGCUGUGAAACAAACAGAACUGGAGGACUUAGCAUGCACUGGAGACCUUUUUCUGAUAAGGGCCAAGAGUAAGUACUCUCAGGUCUGGUGGCCACAUUAUCUCUGUCCCAACGACGAAAGCUGCCCCUGCCCUGGCAGUGGGAAAGCAGCCAGAGCACGUGCAAAUAUAAAAGGUGCGGCUGCAUGUCAAUAAAGCUUUGCUUAGAUACAGCUUGGGAGGAGAGGCUGGGAUGCAGCUCUGGAAAACCCAACACGAUGGGGAUGAGGCUGGUGGAUCUGCUCUGGGCGUGUCACAGCAGGUAGGCUUCAGCCCGGGAGACUGGGUGUGCUCCCCCUGGGCCAGGACAACUCAGCAGUGACAGUCUGCUAUACUGGGACACCUGCAAACAGUGUGGUCACUUUGCGGGCAGCCCACUCACACUGCGCUCCAGCUCGAUGGCCCGGUCCUUCACACGGAGUAGCUCCAUGGUGGCCUCUUUAUGGCUGGGCUCCCAGGCCUCCUUCUCUUGGUGACUGGUGACCUUGCCCGGAGGGCGCUUCAGUGCGUUCUGUGCCUUGUCUCCACCCUCUUGGGUCUGCCUCAGCUGCUCAUGUUCUUUCUUUAUCUGCAGGCCAUGUUGAAAAGCAGACUCAGGUGGGAAGGAGCCGCGCAGGAACCCCAGGAGUGGGUAGGGAGGGACCCCUCACAGAGUCUCAGACACCCACCCACGCACCCCCCCCCCCCGAGGAGGGAUGGGCCAUGUGUUCCUCCCCCAAAAAAGGAAAGGUGGGGAUGUGAACUCAUGCCUGCCUCAGGCCCCACCUUAGUUACAUGUCUACAGCUCUUAUUGGUUGCCUGAGCCUCCAGUCUAUGCCACACAAUAGAGGCAAACCAGGCACAAUCAGUCAGUCAUACAUCUCACAGAGGCCUUGCCAGCUCUGCCUCUGUCUGACUUCAGAUCCCAAAUAACUCUGUAACCAGGGCAUGUGCCACAUGUUCAAAAAAGGGAAACCAUAUACGAGUCCACCCAUAGAUGGAGACUGGGAUGCACACAAAAGUGUGCGCGUGUGUAAACCACCUUAUUGACAUGCGUGGAAAGUGUGAGAAAAGCAUGUCUAUAUGUAUAUAGCGUGUGCACAUGUGUUCAUGUUCUCAACAUGUACUUGUAUGUGCCUAAGAGCUGACAUAUAUUCAUGAAGGUCCUGUCUCAUCCAAGGGGCCUGCGGAGCCUGCAGGUCUUUACUUGGUCCUCUCGACUUUCUUAUGUGCCUGUUCUUGACCUGGAAGUGUGGGACUGCCCUGAGCCCACUCACUGUGUAUCUGCUUCCUCCCCACUAUGUAUCUGGCUCGUGUGUGCCCCUAUACCCUGAGGUUGGCACCCUCAGGAUCCUACAUCUCGUCAUCUGUCCAAAGCACUGCUCUUGGUAGCUCUGGGGAGGGUAUGACCUCAGCCUGGCCCUUACCAUCUGCAGCUCAAUCUGGAGUUGGCGACUCAAGCUCUCUUUCUCUUCCACCUGUGCCUCCAAAAACACAAUCUUUUCUUCUUUCAUAGCCAGUGUUGUUUUCAAGGCUGAUUCGGUUUUGCCUUUUCUGACAACAUAAAGAGACAAUAAUAGUACAGUCUUCAUCCCCUUCACCUCUAAUCCCAUCUCCCUGUGGUCAUCUUCCCACUAAGCUGGUUUUAUCUGCCACCAGCAGAAGGUGUCCCAGGGACCCUGGGAGCCAAACCCAUUGCCUAGACCCCUUACAGGGGGUGGGAGAAGAGGCUGUUUCUUCAGCUGACACAUCUGUAACACCAUCACACAAAAUACUAUGACUCCAUGUUACAGCCACCUCUUAAAGAAGUGUUCUUUCACAAACACUUUACAGACAGGGAGACUCCAUCUCAGAAAACCCCAGAUCUCGGUCCAGGGUCACAAGACCAGGCGUGUGGCAGGCCUGCAGCCUUCCCACUGCAACAAACAUGUCAAAGCAGGCAUGUGAAUCUUGUUGGCUACAAAUCCAGAAAAGGGUUGCCAAUACUAGAUUUCUUUGAAAAGCCAUGCUGUUCAAGGAAAGCAGAGCUGGGAAAAACUGCAAACAUCGAAUUAAAAAGAGAAGUGGCUCUUCCUGUGGCUGGGUGCAGGUCAGUCUGGAGCCUGUCACACACGCAGGAGGCCCUGGGGUUAUUGGCCAGAACCACACAUAGUCUUUUUAUCACACAAAACAAUCUCCUUCCAUAUCUCCUGAGACUCCUAGGGCCAAGACCUGAGCCGCCUAGGACAGACACGGAGUCGAGCCACACAGUGACCCAGAAGUUCAGCCUCAUCAGAGCAGAGCGGUAGGUAAUGCAAGGUGCCCGCCGUCCUUACCCGUCACCGUGACCGUCAUCCUCCUGCAGCAACAGGUCCUUGCUGAGGCCGACCUUCUCCAGCUCCUGGCUCAGCUUGUCCAGCUCGCUGCUUAGCUGCUGGCUCUUCAACUUCUCCAGCACCAGGUCCUGCAAGACAGGAAACACCACUGUGGAUGGGAGUCACAGCUUUGAGCCAUCUCUUCCCCAAACCUGUUGGUUUCAGAUGUUUCAGGCAAGCAGGCUGGCUGAUGGUGUGGUCAACUCCAGAAUGCUCCACCAAAAGAAAGGGGUGAACAGCCUUUCCCAGCCCUCCUGUGCUGUGAACAACGGACCACGUGGCAACAGAGAACAGAACCGGAGUGCUCUUCAAAACGGAAUCCGGACGAUGAGGUCGAGUUCAUCUCCACGGUCCCCUUGGCUUCCAUCCUCAAGCUCGCUGGGGGGAGCUAUUACCUCCUGCCUGAGGCACAGAUAUCCCUCCGACCAAAUCAUAUGCAGAAUAGUACCCCCACCGUGCAAUUUUCCAGACAGGAGCAGGAUAGCACCCUGGAUUGGUAAAUCCCAGGACAGAUGGCAGACUGCUGUCCAGACUGUGGCACAUAGCAGCCUGUAGUCGCCUUAGGCUGAGCUCCAGAGAGCAUCAUCAUCUCUCUCCCUUGAUCCUCUACUGCCAUGUGCUGAGGAGCCAGGACGCUCCGCUAUGGGAUGGUUUAAUCACAAGCUGGAAGGAGCCUGGUACCUGAAUCAGUGAGCGGAAGACUCCUGGAACAUAGGCUGAGACAAAACCUGCAGGUUGGACCACCCAGACGCUAAUGCUGUCCUCUAGAGCUAUACCGUAAACAAGCACCCGACAAUCCAAAGAGACACCAGGGAAGCACAGGAUGCCACAGGCUAAAUGGUCACACACUUUGGUCCCAUUGCUCCAGUUCCAGGAACACGUCCUUUACAAAGUGCCUGAUGUGUCCAAGGAUGUCCAAGACCACUGAAGCGGGAAGAGCUGGGGACGCUGCUCAGAGAGCAUGCUCAAGACUGCGUGUUCUCAAUCCUCAACACCAAAGAGGAAGAAAAAGACCCCAAGCCCCAAACAAAACAGCGGGGAAUACUGGAAACAAUCUAAGGGGCCUAUAAUUAGCAAAGUAAAUCUGUAGGCUUUAGUAUCUUGGCUUUCAAACCUGUUCACUGUGGGGACAGUGACUCUGCAGCCAAGGGCAUUUGCUGACAAGCCUGGCAACCAGAACCCAAAUGUUGGGACGACAGAAAAGACUCCCUCUCACACAUGCCUACAGACACACACAUACAAAAGUAAAUAAAUAAAUGGAAGAAAAGAAAACCAUGACCCAAAA